GACGAACGCUGGCGGCGUGCUUAACACAUGCAAGUCGAACGGUAAGGCCCUUCGGGGUACACGAGUGGCGAACGGGUGAGCAACACGUGGGUGAUCUGCCCUGCACUUCGGGAUAAGCCUGGGAAACUGGGUCUAAUACCGGAUAGGACCACUGCCUGCAUGGGUGGUGGUGGAAAGCUUUUGCGGUGUGGGAUGGGCCCGCGACCUAUCAGCUUGUUGGUGGGGUGAUGGCCUACCAAGGCGACGACGGGUAGCCGGCCUGAGAGGGUGACCGGCCACACUGGGACUGAGAUACGGCCCAGACUCCUACGGGAGGCAGCAGUGGGGAAUAUUGCACAAUGGGCGCAAGCCUGAUGCAGCGACGCCGCGUGAGGGAUGACGGCCUUCGGGUUGUAAACCUCUUUCAGCACCGACGAAGCGCAAGUGACGGUAGGUGCAGAAGAAGGACCGGCCAACUACGUGCCAGCCGCCGCGGUAA
Molecule: ribosomal RNA, 478 nt
Filed under: uncultured bacterium
Lineage: Bacteria
Description: partial 16S ribosomal RNA
Rfam family: Bacterial small subunit ribosomal RNA
Source: RNAcentral